UUUUGUUUACAAUCAAUCUCAGCCUCUAGUGUGAAGAUCUCAGGUAAUUGGUCUUAAAUAUUUUGUUAGUGGGUGACAGAAACAUUCCCUUUGUGUGAUAUUUAAUGCGCAUCUCGUCAGUAAAGCUGGUUGUGUAAUCAGCUGUAAAUCUCAAUCACCGUAUGACAUAUGAGAAUGAUCAAUGUAUGACAUCAAAGUACCCCGCGAGCGAUCCGAAUGCAUUGGAUCCGUAUGCUCUCUUAUUGCUCUCUCUCUCGCGGUACUUUGAUGUCCUACAGUGAUCAUUCUGUGCAGCUACUUCAAGUCGAACACUAAUGCUGCUCCUUGUGAAAGCUGCAGGUGAUGGAGAUUUACCGCUGAUUACACAACUGGCUUUACUGACAAGAUAAAUUAAAUAUCGCGUGUGAUUUAUCGUGCAGCCCAACUGCCUAAAAUAUAAAGUAUAGGGCUUGGGCGCCGUGACGUUAUUACUUGGCGUGGCCACCACGUUGACUGCCUCCUUUACUGCCACUCGGACUACUGCGCAGUGUUUAGACAUACUCCCUCCCAUCCGUGUGUCUUAAUUUGAUGAAUUAAAAAUUUAACCAUUUUCAACCGUUGCUGUAUUGUGGGGUGUAAUAGCGCAACACAUAAUCGCCAUGGGGAAAAUAAAAUGAGAAUGGAUUAACUUUACACCGCUUUCCUGCUUGGAGGCGCGACUACGGAGACCAUAACAUCUGAAUAUUAAUUUAUAUAGCUUAAGUCAACAUUGAAAAUAAGGAAAAUUUCUUGGUUUACUCAUCCAAAAUACGGAAAAUUUCAACAUUCAUCUUUUUGUUGCUAUCCCUCUGCUGACAGCAAAAAUUUGUACUAUAAAACUGCUGCAUUAACUAACGUUAAGCGAUUUGUGCUCUCACAACAACCACGCUAUCUUAAAAAGCCCAACAUCACGCUAAGGUUGCUUUCAAGUAAUCAAAACGAUGCUUUGAAAACAUCUGUUUCGCUGGAAGGACAAGGAGUAGCGACAGGACAACAACACAGAGACUUGACAGGUCUGAUGGAGGGGCUAACGGGAUAUUUUACAGGAAAAUACUAAAACGGGAAGACAGCGGGAAAACAGCUCAAAUAUGUGAGAACCCCGGAAAAACGGGAGGGUGGACAGCUACUAACUACACUUUUGAAACACAUUGUUAAAAGUCCAUGUGUGAAUGGUUGUUUGCACUAACGGUUACUAAACUAGCAGCUAGGUAACGUUAGAGCACAGCUUACUGGAUUACUGUAUACUGUUUUGCCGCUGUUCUGUUUCUAUGAUUUGCAACUCCUGAACCCAUCCAUUUGUGAACUGUACAUGAGACUUGACUUGUAGCUUCUGAACUAUUCUGAAGUGUAAGCGCUCACAAAACAAACAAGGUAGCCGAAGAUAUCUGUAAUGCAAACCUGCGGCAACAAGUCUCCGUCGGUACUCCACUAUUUGUUGGGAAUUUCAAGUGCAUCCAAACCAUUAAUAGUGCAGAUUUUGUCCACAUACCGGUCCCUGGCAUCCCUAUUUAGUGUAUCCCUAUAAAUCCUACAACCUUUUUGCGAUUUUAAAAUAUUUUUUUCUUUCUCCCAACUCUGCUCUUCUCUUUCAACUUGCUGUAUGUUUACAUUUGCGAAGCUGGAGAUCAUCCGGGAUUUGUCUGCUGACGCUGGUUAUCCAUCUUCACACACCUGCCACAGAAGCCACGAGUCACAUUGGAGUGACGUCAACUCCCCCUUGAACUGAUUGGCUAGAGGCGCCGCUGUCAAUCUAGAACUUGCUUGAUUUACAUGAAACUCAAACUGCAACUUUUAGAAACGCAAGCGCAGAACGUGGAAACAAAAGCAAAGGGGAAAAGACCACAA
Molecule: long non-coding RNA, 1863 nt
Filed under: Carassius auratus (goldfish)
Lineage: Eukaryota; Metazoa; Chordata; Actinopteri; Cypriniformes; Cyprinidae
Description: lncRNA (ENSCARG00000065506.1)
Source: RNAcentral